UACGGAGGGAGCUAGCGUUGUUCGGAAUUACUGGGCGUAAAGCGCGCGUAGGCGGCUUUGUAAGUUAGAGGUGAAAGCCCGGGGCUCAACCCCGGAACUGCCUUUAAAACUGCAUCGCUUGAAUCCAGGAGAGGUGAGUGGAAUUCCGAGUGUAGAGGUGAAAUUCGUAGAUAUUCGGAAGAACACCAGUGGCGAAGGCGGCUCACUGGACUGGUAUUGACGCUGAGGUGGCGAAAGCGGUGGGGAGCAAACAGG
RNAcentral lists this ribosomal RNA (255 nucleotides) under uncultured bacterium. RNAcentral describes it as "partial 16S ribosomal RNA". It matches the Rfam family "Bacterial small subunit ribosomal RNA", at positions 524 to 776 of the family's 1533-position model. The record is from RNAcentral.